CCUACGGGAGGCUGCAGUGAGGAAUAUUGGUCAAUGGCCGAGAGGCUGAACCAGCCAAGUCGCGUGAGGGAAGAAUGUCCUAUGGAUUGUAAACCUCUUUUGUCAGGGAGCAAAGUCACCCACGUGUGGGUGUUGGAGAGUACCUGAAGAAAAAGCAUCGGCUAACUCCGUGCCAGCAGCCGCGGUAAUACGGAGGAUGCGAGCGUUAUCCGGAUUUACUGGGUGUAAAGGGCGUGUAGGCGGGACUGCAAGUCAGAUGUGAAAACCACGGGCUCAACCUGUGGCCUGCAUUUGAAACUGUAGUUCUUGAGUGAGCGAGAAGUAUGCGGAAUGCGUGGUGUAGCGGUGAAAUGCAUAGAUAUCACGCAGAACUCCGAUUGCGAAGGCAGCAUACCGGCGCUCAACUGACGCUGAGGCACGAAAGCGUGGGGAUCGAACAGGAUUAGAUACCCCUGUAGUC
Molecule: ribosomal RNA, 460 nt
Filed under: uncultured bacterium
Lineage: Bacteria
Description: partial 16S ribosomal RNA
Rfam family: Bacterial small subunit ribosomal RNA
Source: RNAcentral